GUCAGUAACUCAGUCCUAAAGAGACUGAGCUUGUAAGAAAUUGCAAGCUGUACUGACCAGUCUAAGUCUUCACUGACUACGUUUUUUGAGUCACGACACCCUGGAAUGCGUAGCUAGUUCCCUGCUCUGUCGCUUGUGAUUAAACAGUUUCAAGGUCACUGAAACAGUGUUGCAAGCCUAAAAAGCUCUUAAAACAUUGACGUUCGCGCAAGCGUGCCGGAG
Non-coding RNA from Anabaena sp. 90, 222 nucleotides. It matches the Rfam family "HNH endonuclease-associated RNA and ORF (HEARO) RNA". The record is from Rfam. NCBI's taxonomy places the organism in Bacteria, Bacillati, Cyanobacteriota, Cyanophyceae, Nostocales, Nostocaceae.